AUACUUACCUGGCAGGGGAGAUACCAUGAUCACGAAGGUGGUUUUCCCAGGGCAAGGCUUAUUCAUUGGACUCCGGAUGUGCAGACCCCUGCAAUUUCCCCAAAUGUGGGAAACUCAACUGCAUAAUUUGUGGUAGUGGGGGACUGCAUUCACCCUUUUCCCUG
Molecule: small nuclear RNA, 164 nt
Organism: Heterocephalus glaber (naked mole-rat)
Lineage: Eukaryota; Metazoa; Chordata; Mammalia; Rodentia; Bathyergidae
Gene: U1
Rfam family: U1 spliceosomal RNA
About the family: U1 is a small nuclear RNA (snRNA) component of the spliceosome (involved in pre-mRNA splicing). Its 5' end forms complementary base pairs with the 5' splice junction, thus defining the 5' donor site of an intron.
Source: Ensembl